Molecule: ribosomal RNA, 429 nt
Filed under: Chloroflexota bacterium
Lineage: Bacteria; Bacillati; Chloroflexota
Description: Chloroflexi bacterium partial 16S ribosomal RNA
Rfam family: Bacterial small subunit ribosomal RNA
Source: RNAcentral
UGGGGAAUAUUGCACAAUGGGCGCAAGCCUGAUGCAGCCAUGCCGCGUGUAUGAAGAAGGCCUUCGGGUUGUAAAGUACUUUCAGCGGGGAGGAAGGGAGUAAAGUUAAUACCUUUGCUCAUUGACGUUACCCGCAGAAGAAGCACCGGCUAACUCCGUGCCAGCAGCCGCGGUAAUACGGAGGGUGCAAGCGUUAAUCGGAAUUACUGGGCGUAAAGCGCACGCAGGCGGUUUGUUAAGUCAGAUGUGAAAUCCCCGGGCUCAACCUGGGAACUGGAUCUGAUACUGGCAAGCUUGAGUCUCGUAGAGGGGGGUAGAAUUCCAGGUGUAGCGGUGAAAUGCGUAGAGAUCUGGAGGAAUACCGGUGGCGAAGGCGGCCCCCUGGAAGAAGACUGACGCUCAGGUGCGAAAGCGUGGGGAGCAAACAGG